This 507-nucleotide ribosomal RNA is filed under the name uncultured bacterium. Its description in RNAcentral is "partial 16S ribosomal RNA". It matches the Rfam family "Bacterial small subunit ribosomal RNA", at positions 28 to 507 of the family's 1533-position model. The record is from RNAcentral.
GACGAACGCUGGCGGCGUGCCUAAUACAUGCAAGUCGAACGCAUUUUCUUUCACCGUAGCUUGCUACACCGAAAGAAAAUGAGUGGCGAACGGGUGAGUAACACGUGGGUAACCUGCCCAUCAGCGGGGGAUAACACUUGGAAACAGGUGCUAAUACCGCAUAAUUCCAUUUACCGCAUGGUAAAUGGAUGAAAGGCGCUUUUGCGUCACUGAUGGAUGGACCCGCGGUGCAUUAGCUAGUUGGUGGGGUAACGGCCUACCAAGGCUGCGAUGCAUAGCCGACCUGCGAGGGUGAUCGGCCACACUGGGACUGAGACACGGCCCAGACUCCUACGGGAGGCAGCAGUAGGGAAUCUUCGGCAAUGGACGCAAGUCUGACCGAGCAACGCCGCGUGAGUGAAGAAGGUUUUCGGAUCGUAAAACUCUGUUGUUAGAGAAGAACAAGGAUGAGAGUGGAAAGUUCAUCCCUUGACGGUAUCUAACCAGAAAGCCACGGCUAACUACGUG